Molecule: non-coding RNA, 88 nt
Organism: Gelatoporia subvermispora B
Lineage: Eukaryota; Fungi; Basidiomycota; Agaricomycetes; Polyporales; Gelatoporiaceae
Source: the annotation of a GenBank genome assembly
GGGCAUGUGGUGUAGUUGGUUAUCACGCUCGCUUAGCAUGAUUAUCUCAGCUUGCGAGAGGGGUCCGGUUCGAUCCCGGACAUGUCCA